UGAACGCUGGCGGCGUGCCUAACACAUGCAAGUCGAGCGGUAGAGAGAAGCUUGCUUCUCUUGAGAGCGGCGGACGGGUGAGUAAUACCUAGGAAUCUGCCUGAUAGUGGGGGAUAACGUUCGGAAACGGACGCUAAUACCGCAUACGUCCUACGGGAGAAAGCAGGGGACCUUCGGGCCUUGCGCUAUCAGAUGAGCCUAGGUCGGAUUAGCUAGUUGGUGAGGUAAUGGCUCACCAAGGCUACGAUCCGUAACUGGUCUGAGAGGAUGAUCAGUCACACUGGAACUGAGACACGGUCCAGACUCCUACGGGAGGCAGCAGUGGGGAAUAUUGGACAAUGGGCGAAAGCCUGAUCCAGCCAUGCCGCGUGUGUGAAGAAGGUCUUCGGAUUGUAAAGCACUUUAAGUUGGGAGGAAGGGCAUUAACCUAAUACGUUGGUGUCU
This 444-nucleotide ribosomal RNA is filed under the name Pseudomonas fluorescens. RNAcentral describes it as "bacterial SSU rRNA". It matches the Rfam family "Bacterial small subunit ribosomal RNA", at positions 30 to 474 of the family's 1533-position model. Lineage: Bacteria; Pseudomonadati; Pseudomonadota; Gammaproteobacteria; Pseudomonadales; Pseudomonadaceae. The record is from RNAcentral.